Molecule: long non-coding RNA, 371 nt
Organism: Suricata suricatta (meerkat)
Lineage: Eukaryota; Metazoa; Chordata; Mammalia; Carnivora; Herpestidae
Exons: 4
Source: RefSeq, a predicted model, not a curated record
AUGUCCCUAAUAUACAAUCGAUGGUAGAUGUGUGGGCUUUGGAAUCCUAGGACCUGCCCAGAAUUAUGUCUCUGUUACUCACCAGCUCCAUGGCCCUGGUGUUUCCUCAUAACCUCUUUGGACUGAGCACCAGGGCUGUUUUCUAGUGAAGAAGACCAAAUAACAAGAGAAGAAAAGAUUGAUCUUGAGUGCUGGGUAUUUUUCGCUCACCACAUUAGCUGCCAGGUUUCCAGGCUAUCCCCCCAGGACUGAGAUGAGGUGAGAGCCAGUCGUGCCUGUCCCUUCAAUGCCUGAGCUUCCUUGCUACCUACACUAGCAAGAUUAUGAUCUCCAGGACUAACAAGCCACAUAAAGCUCCCUUGACACAUGAA